CAGCCGCCACGGGAAUACGAAGGGUGCAAGCGUUAAUCGGAAUUACUGGGCGUAAAGCGUGCGUAGGCGGUAAGUUAAGUCUGCUGUGAAAUCCCCGGGCUCAACCUGGGAAUGGCAGUGGAUACUGGCUCGCUAGAGUGUGUCAGAGGAUGGUGGAAUUCCCGGUGUAGCGGUGAAAUGCGUAGAGAUCGGGAGGAACAUCAGUAGCGAAGGCGGCCAUCUGGGACAACACUGAUGCUGAGGCACGAAAGCGUGGGGAGCAAACAGGAUUAGAUACCCCUGUAGUCCCUGUCUCUUAUAC
RNAcentral lists this ribosomal RNA (301 nucleotides) under uncultured bacterium. RNAcentral describes it as "partial 16S ribosomal RNA". It matches the Rfam family "Bacterial small subunit ribosomal RNA", at positions 509 to 807 of the family's 1533-position model. The record is from RNAcentral.